UUCUGCUUUGCCCAACUUAAAUACCUGCUUUUGAUGAAACCUGGAAAAAUCUGGUCUUUCUUCUCCUGCAGCGAUGCCUGGUGGGAGAUGUAGCUCAGUGGUCUUGUAUUUCUGUUCCCUUGGAUGGGGUGGGCUCCCCUGCCGGAUGACCUCUCCCUCCUGGUGAGCCUCGUGAUGCUGCUGUGACCGAAGGGUGGUUGACCCGUCCGAGGGACUCAGCAGCUUCUUGCAGAAUGAGAGCAUGAGAUACUCGAAUGACAACUCCCAGCAACUCUAAAAGCUGCCAUUGAUUUCAGCACAUGCUAACGCAGCUGGGUGUGAAGGCAGAGGGAUGGAAGCAAACGGGUGCUACCACAAAUCGGAGCAUCAGCAGAGGCAGUUGACUGAGGUGAGAAAGUUUCCAGGAUAACUUAUACCAUUCAGAGUUACCUGCCCUUUGAAAUGCAAGUCCAACAAUUCACCUGCAUCGGAGCCAGCUGCAGAGGCAGGCAGGGAGUAUCAGGAUGAAUCUGGCAUCUCAGGACACUUGGCCUGCUACCGUGGACCUCUCCCGUGUUACCAGGUACUCAGCUGGCACACUGGACCCAGAAAUAUUUUGCCUUCCCUAAGGCUGUGCUUUGCUUUCUCUUUCAGCUAGCAGGGGUUGGGGGAGCGCAGGGAAGCUUGCUGCGGGAUCCCACGUGCCAGCGAUUCGCCGCGGCGUUACGAGUUACAGCGCAUCUGCUGGUUUGCUGCAGCUGUCUGUGCGUGCGUGCCUCAGCUCGUGACAAGUGAGUUGUUAUGGAUUUCUAAUCAGGGAGACUGGAUGGUACAUCUGCGUUUCGUCUGUGCGAUAAUUCUCUGGACUUUGGGUGAAAGCGUGACUAUGAAUGCUACUUGUCAGUUUACUAUGCACAAACAAUAUGUUUCUCAUUUAGCCGCUCACCUGCCUUUGUCCAUCUUUAAAAAAAAAAAAAAAAAGGAGAUUUAAAUUCAGAAAGCCUGUUUGGAAGGAUCGUAAUAGAUCAGUCAAUGGAGUAGAGAAGUGUGAAUGCCAGUGCGGACAGAUCCACAGGCUGCAAAUCUCUAUCAAAAGGACUGUGCCCAGGAUCAUUUCAGUGAAAUCUGGAGGAUUAAGGUGAAGUCAUUACAAAUUUCUUACAGUAACAUAUGAUGCUUUCAAGAGAAAAUAUUGUGUAUUCACUUAUGGUUCAUUAA
Long non-coding RNA from Struthio camelus australis, 1197 nucleotides. RefSeq lists it as uncharacterized. NCBI's taxonomy places the organism in Eukaryota, Metazoa, Chordata, Aves, Struthioniformes, Struthionidae. The record is from RefSeq and is a predicted model, not a curated record.